GUCCCUACUGCUCCCAUACUGGACCCAUACAGUUCCCUACAGAUCUGUAUUGGUCCCAUACUGGUCCAUACUGGUCUGUACUGGUCUCUACUGUCCCAUACUGGUCUGCAGUGGUCCAUACUGUCCCAUACUAGUCUCAUACUGGUCCAUACUGUCCCAUACUGGUCCCAUACUGGUCUCUACUGGUCCCAUACUGGCCCAUAGUGUCCCGUACUGGUCCCGUACUGGUCCCGCACUGUCCCACAGUGUCCCAUACUGGUCUGUACUGGUCCCACACUGUCCUGUUCUGUCCCAUACUGGUCCCGUACUGCCCCAUACUCUCCCACACUGUCCCAUACUGCUCCAUACUGGUCUCUACUGUCCCAUACUGGUCUGUACUGGUCCGUACUGGUCCAUACUCACGCAGGCAGCGGUCGCAGCGUCCCGCUCCGUGGCGCUGGCAGGAGCUGUGAGCGUGGCAGCCGCACGGCACCAACCACUGGGACACACUGGUCCUUACUGGUCCCAUACUGGU
Molecule: long non-coding RNA, 514 nt
Filed under: Numida meleagris (helmeted guineafowl)
Lineage: Eukaryota; Metazoa; Chordata; Aves; Galliformes; Numididae
Description: lncRNA (ENSNMEG00000000506.1)
Source: RNAcentral